Molecule: ribosomal RNA, 496 nt
Filed under: uncultured bacterium
Lineage: Bacteria
Description: partial 16S ribosomal RNA
Rfam family: Bacterial small subunit ribosomal RNA
Source: RNAcentral
GAUGAACGCUGGCGGCGUGCCUAAUACAUGCAAGUCGAGCGAACGGACGAGAAGCUUGCUUCUCUGAUGUUAGCGGCGGACGGGUGAGUAACACGUGGAUAACCUACCUAUAAGACUGGGAUAACUUCGGGAAACCGUAGCUAAUACCGGAUAAUAUUUUGAACCGCAUGGUUCAAAAGUGAAAGACGGUCUUGCUGUCACUUAUAGAUGGAUCCGCGCUGCAUUAGCUAGUUGGUAAGGUAACGGCUUACCAAGGCAACGAUGCAUAGCCGACCUGAGAGGGUGACCGGCCACACUGAACUGAGACACGGUCCAGACUCCUACGGGAGGCAGCAGUAGGGAAUCUUCCGCAAUGGGCGAAAGCCUGACGGAGCAACGCCGCGUGAGUGAUGAAGGUCUUCGGAUCGUAAAACUCUGUUAUUAGGGAAGAACAUAUGUGUAAGUAACUGUGCACAUCUUGACGGUACCUAAUCAGAAAGCCACGGCUAACUACGUG